AUGUGAGUAAUAUAUCGGAACGUACCAUUCAGUGGGGGAUAACGUAGCGAAAGUUACGCUAAUACCGCAUAUUCUGUGAGCAGGAAAGCAGGGGAUCGCAAGACCUUGCGCUGAUUGAGCGGCCGAUAUCAGAUUAGCUAGUUGGUGAGGUAAAAGCUCACCAAGGCGACGAUCUGUAGCGGGUCUGAGAGGAUGAUCCGCCACACUGGAACUGAGACACGGUCCAGACUCCUACGGGAGGCAGCAGUGGGGAAUUUUGGACAAUGGGGGCAACCCUGAUCCAGCCAUGCCGCGUGAGUGAAGAAGGCCUUCGGGUUGUAAAGCUCUUUCAGCCGGGAAGAAAACGCAUGGGUUAAUACCCUGUGUGGAUGACGGUACCGGAAUAAGAAGCACCGGCUAACUACGUGCCAGCAGCCGCGGUAAUACGUAGGGUGCGAGCGUUAAUCGGAAUUACUGGGCGUAAAGCGUGCGCAGGCGGUUUUGUAAGACAGGCGUGAAAUCCCCGGGCUUAACCUGGGAACUGCGUUUGUGACUGCAAGGCUAGAGUACGGCAGAGGGGGGUGGAAUUCCACGUGUAGCAGUGAAAUGCGUAGAGAUGUGGAGGAACACCAAUGGCGAAGGCAGCCCCCUGGGUCGAUACUGACGCUCAUGCACGAAAGCGUGGGUAGCAAACAGGAUUAGAUACCCUGGUAGUCCACGCCCUAAACGAUGUCAACUAGGUGUUGGGAGGGUAAAACCUUUUAGUACCGGAGCUAACGCGUGAAGUUGACCGCCUGGGGAGUACGGCCGCAAGGUUAAAACUCAAAGGAAUUGACGGGGACCCGCACAAGCGGUGGAUGAUGUGGAUUAAUUCGAUGCAACGCGAAAAACCUUACCUACCCUUGACAUGCCAAGAACUUUCCAGAGAUGGAUUGGUGCCCGAAAGGGAACUUGGACACAGGUGCUGCAUGGCUGUCGUCAGCUCGUGUCGUGAGAUGUUGGGUUAAGUCCCGCAACGAGCGCAACCCUUGUCGUUAAUUGCCAUCAUUUAGUUGGGCACUUUAACGAGACUGCCGGUGACAAACCGGAGGAAGGUGGGGAUGACGUCAAGUCCUCAUGGCCCUUAUGGGUAGGGCUUCACACGUCAUACAAUGGUCGAUACAAAGGGUCGCCAAGCCGCGAGGUGGAGCCAAUCCCAGAAAGCCGAUCGUAGUCCGGAUCGCAGUCUGCAACUCGACUGCGUGAAGUCGGAUCGCUAGUAAUCGUGGAUCAGCACGUCACGGUGAAUACGUUCCCAGGUCUUGUACACACCGCCCGUCACACCAUGGGAGCGGGUUCCGCCAGAAGUAGGUAGCCUAACCGCAAGGAGGGCGCUUACCA
RNAcentral lists this ribosomal RNA (1359 nucleotides) under metagenome. RNAcentral describes it as "bacterial SSU rRNA". It matches the Rfam family "Bacterial small subunit ribosomal RNA", at positions 100 to 1459 of the family's 1533-position model. The record is from RNAcentral.